CCUACGGGUGGCUGCAGUCGAGAAUCAUUCACAAUGGGGGAAACCCUGAUGGUGCGACGCCGCGUGGGGGAAUGAAGGUCUUCGGAUUGUAAACACCUGUCAUGUGGGGGCAAAUUAAAAAGAUAGUAACCCAAGCGGAAGAGACGGCUAACUCUGUGCCAGCCGCCGAGGUAAUAAAGAGGACUCACGCGUUGUUCGGAAUCACAGGGCGUAAGGCGCUCGUAGGCGGUAUGUCAAGUCACGGGUGAAAUCCCCGGGCUCAACGUGGGAACUGCCUUUGAAACUGGCAAACUCGAGUGUGUGAGAGGAUAGUAGAAUUCCAGGUGUAGGGGUGAAAUCCGUAGAGAUCUGGAGGAACAUCAGUGGCGAAGGCGACCAUCUGGCACAUAACUGACGCUGAGGUGCGAAAGCGUGGGUAGCAAACAGGAUUAGAUACCCGAGUAGUC
Molecule: ribosomal RNA, 446 nt
Filed under: uncultured bacterium
Lineage: Bacteria
Description: partial 16S ribosomal RNA
Rfam family: Bacterial small subunit ribosomal RNA
Source: RNAcentral